UGGUUUCCUCAGCCCGAAGAACCUUUGCAUGGCAGUCCCUCCUUCUCACCUCUUACUUAGGCAACAAUCAGUCAUGUGAAUAAUCAGUCUGUCACAGUCACAGACUAGUCACCACAUCUUUUCAGAAAGUAGUGGGGAGGCCGGCCAAUCACCAUAAAUAAGGUGCAGGGGCUCCACAGUGCUUUUGAGCAAAUAUUCUAUAAGACGAACAGGAGCUCAAGCAGUGUGCAAAGCUGUCAUCAAGGCAAAAGGAUGGCUACUUUGAAGAAGCGAAAAUAUAAAAGGUGUUUCUAAACCAAAUGGGAAAAGAUGUGCACUUCUGGAUUGGUCUGACUGACUCAGAGAUGGAAGGUUUCUGGAAAUGGGUGGAUGGAACAACAUCACCAACAAUGUUCUGGAGAAGAGGAGAGCCAAAUAAUGCUGAUGGGGAGGAGGAUUGUGUGGUAUUCAACAGGUUUAUUAAUCUGUCUUGGGACUGGGAAAUGAUUCAGUCAUGGAAUGACCAGCCUUGCUCAGUGAGGCUAAAUGGGUAUGUGAGAGCAGUGUCAUAACAAAUCCAUCCACAACAGGAGAAUAAUAUCUGAAUUCCCUUUUGAGUUAGCAAUUGUAUUAUUAGUUAGCAAUUGUAUUAUCACAGAUUAUUGUUGAAGUGUAAUUUAAAUCUAUUACGACAUAAGUUAUGAUUUGUAAUGAUUGUUCUUAUGAUUAGUAAUGAUUGUUCUUAUGAUUAGUAAUGAUCGUAGCUAUGAUUUGUAAUGAUUUCAUUUAUAUAAUACAUAAUUGCUUUUUAAGAACCAUAGUAUUAUGAAUGUGAAACUCCAACCUGAAAGCUAAUGUAGUGAAUUGACAUGCAGGGUCAAAUCUAAUCUAAUCAUCUAACAGUGAACUGUGUACAAGGCAAGUGCCAUGAUUCAAUUUGUUCAAUUUUUGGAUAACAUUAAAGACAUAUUCUGAAAGCUAA
Long non-coding RNA from Oncorhynchus gorbuscha (pink salmon), 961 nucleotides. RefSeq lists it as uncharacterized. The record is from RefSeq and is a predicted model, not a curated record. The transcript is spliced from 4 exons. Lineage: Eukaryota; Metazoa; Chordata; Actinopteri; Salmoniformes; Salmonidae.